This 2573-nucleotide long non-coding RNA is filed under the name Marmota monax (woodchuck). Lineage: Eukaryota; Metazoa; Chordata; Mammalia; Rodentia; Sciuridae. The record is from RNAcentral.
CAUCUCUGCGUUCUAGGUCUGUGAGAAUGGUCCUCACUACAUGCCUCUGGUGGAGCUCUUCAUAUGUUCAAACGGUUUUAUGGUGUGUGCCAUCUUUUCUUCUCCACUAGUUUGUGAGCUUCUGGAGACCAGGAAUCUGGGCUUAUCUCAUUCAUGUAUGUAACUCUGGAGCACCCGGUAUUUAAUAGACACUUCAUAAUUGUUUAUUGAAUGGAUUAGUGUAAGUUCCACCAAGGAACAAAGCUAUUAUAUUUCUUGGAUUCUUCAUAAUGCCAUGUCUAGUAUUAUGCAAGUAUCAAGUAGGCACUUUAACUACAAAAUAAAGGGUGCAAUGAAGCAUUGCAAAGCUAUCGUGUGCAGGGACUGAGCUUAGUACUUUCCAUUAACUGACUCUGGUCAGUUGGUCCCUAACAACCUUAUAUAAUAGCACUACUGUCCACAUUCUGCAUAUAAGGAAAUCAGAGCUUAAGGGGUAGAAGUGACUGGGCCAUCAUCAUACUGUCAUCUAUGAGCCAAGCCAGAAUUUGAUUACAAGAGCACCUGAUUUGGCAAUAAGGUAAUAUGUUCUGCUGCUGCCAAUGUGAUGGUGGUGAUGGCGGUGAUGACCACUUUAGAACUUCCUCUUCUUCCCCUGUCUGCUUGGUCAUAAGCAAAGUCUUCUGCAAUUGAUCCAAGAAACCAGUGCUCCAUUGUGCCACCAUGAAGAAAUGUGAUUGCAUUUCAUGCAGCAAAUAUGCACAAGUCAGGCUACAUGGUCAUCUUCUCUCUUGCAGAAUCAUUUAUCCAUAACAGAAGUCAAAGUUACUAAUCUUAAGAACAUAAACAUUGAGCACGUAAGGCUAAGACAUUUAAAAUUGGCCUUUGGGAUCUGAAGAACCAGCUGAGGCUUCUUUCCUUUUCCUUUUUCUUUUUGGAGACUAAAAUAAGAAAACUUGUUUGAAUUGGCAACAUUGUUCAUUAAUGGGACCUGAGCUGUCUUUUGGUAUUUAAAAGGCAAUCCUCAAAAAAGUUGGGUCUGGAAGCCAGUGUGGGUGUGUUAAGUACCUCAUUAGGUGCAGAGAAAGAACACAGGGCUCCUUCUUAAGGGACUCUCCCGCUCCAGGAUUACUGAAAAGGCCCCGGAGUUUGCUUGGGGCUCCUAUAGAGAUAUAGGCACACCCUUGACUUGUGAGCACUCCUCUGAUAGCUAAGGUCAACAUCUUUGUCAGAACAGAAGCCUGUAGGGGGAGGAAGUGAGGGAAGAGGUGGAGAAGUGAGGACCCACAUCUACCCACCUCACCAGACCAGCUCAGUCAGUCCUGGAUGAACAGUGGGAACCAGCCCUUUUGCCCUCAUGUCCAUCUAAUGCUGAUGUAUUAAAAUGAGGUAUCCACCUGUGCACUGUGCUCUGCACAACCCUGGGGGCGGGGUGGCUAUCUGCCUGGGAAUAUAUGUGAGUGGUGGGCUCAAUACUCAGCACAGUACUCAGCCUCCAUAAACAUAGACAACCAGGCUGGAGAUGUGGCUCAAGCGGUAGCACGCUCGCCUGGCAUGCAUGCGGCCCGGGUUCGAUCCUCAGCACCACAUACAAACAAAGAUGUUAUGUCCGCCGAAUACUAAAAAAUAAAUAUUAAAAAAAUUCUCUCUCUCUCUCUCUCUCUCUCUUAAAAAAAAAAAACUGGGUAAACAUAGGCAACAGUCCUAAGUGACGUGUACAGGCACAUCUGUGUCUAUGUGGGCAGUUUAAAUGAUCCUGAUUAUACCUUUGAUGAUGCAAAUCAGUGGAAUGCUCAGCAAUUGUCACCUCAAAACUGUAAACGAAUUUUAUUCUACAAAGUUAUACCUAAAUAUUUGUGUAUAUUUCAAAGUGCUUAUUAUAAUGAUAUCACUACUAUUUAUUUAUUUUUUAAAUGUAACAGUUGAGCAUCUGCAAGAUUUUAGGCAUGGUUCAAAAGUCUGGAUUAAACAACUUCAUUGCUUAGAAAAAACUGUUAACUGAUUCAUUCAAAGAUAAAAAGCCUAUGCUUUUUGUACUUUAUGCCAUUUUUUUAAUGUGAAGGUGUCCCCCAAAUCCUUCUUAUUUUUACAUGGAGAUGACAUUGGGCUAUUCCUCUCAAACAGCCCUAUAUAUUAGUAUGCCCCAGUCAAUAUAAUCCUUAUGCAAUGCUUUUUUUUUUCUUUUCUUCCUAGAUCUUCCUUCCUCUUUUACUAAGGAGGCCCCAGAAAGUAAGUUGGCUUCUUUAAGGUUUUCCUCAACUGCCCUUAGCAGAGUGAGCCCAGGACCAACUGCCCAGGGAGAAUAGUCAGACUUGGAUCUCAGAGGAUGCUUGGAUCUGUGGGGGAAAGCUGCUGUCCAACCAGAACAUCUGGAUCAUUUGGAUCAUUAAAUGGGCAACAAAUAACUGAAAAUAUGUGUGUGUGUGUGCACACACACUCAUGCAUGUGUGAAAGUGUGUGUGUUUGGUAUAGAAUCAAACUUUCCUUGUGGAUUAGUUGGAAAAAUAAAUGACCAUAUUUGAAACCCAAAUCUGUGGAGUUGCUCAAACUUGUAACAAUAAAUUCUUUGUAAAGUGAGCCUCUGCCUCUGCUAGUCU